AUGCACCGAAGCUGCGGCAGCGACACUAUGUGUUGUUGGGUAGGGGAGCGUUCUGUAAGCCUGCGAAGGUGUGCUGUGAGGCAUGCUGGAGGUAUCAGAAGUGCGAAUGCUGACAUAAGUAACGAUAAAGCGGGUGAAAAGCCCGCUCGCCGGAAGACCAAGGGUUCCUGUCCAACGUUAAUCGGGGCAGGGUGAGUCGACCCCUAAGGCGAGGCCGAAAGGCGUAGUCGAUGGGAAACAGGUUAAUAUUCCUGUACUUGGUGUUACUGCGAAGGGGGGACGGAGAAGGCUAUGUCGGCCGGGCGACGGUUGUCCCGGUUUAAGCGUGUAGGCUGACUUUCCAGGCAAAUCCGGAGAGUUAAGGCUGAGGCGUGAUGACGAGGCACCACGGUGCUGAAGUGACAAAUGCCCUGCUUCCAGGAAAAGCCUCUAAGCAUCAGGUAACAUCAAAUCGUACCCCAAACCGACACAGGUGGUCAGGUAGAGAAUACCAAGGCGCUUGAGAGAACUCGGGUGAAGGAACUAGGCAAAAUGGUGCCGUAACUUCGGGAGAAGGCACGCUGACAUGUAGGUGAAGCCCCUGCGGGUGGAGCUGAAGUCAGUCGAAGAUACCAGCUGGCUGCAACUGUUUAUUAAAAACACAGCACUGUGCAAACACGAAAGUGGACGUAUACGGUGUGACGCCUGCCCGGUGCCGGAAGGUUAAUUGAUGGGGUUAUCGCAAGAGAAGCUCCUGAUCGAAGCCCCGGUAAACGGCGGCCGUAACUAUAACGGUCCUAAGGUAGCGAAAUUCCUUGUCGGGUAAGUUCCGACCUGCACGAAUGGCGUAAUGAUGGCCAGGCUGUCUCCACCCGAGACUCAGUGAAAUUGAACUCGCUGUGAAGAUGCAGUGUACCCGCGGCAAGACGGAAAGACCCCGUGAACCUUUACUACAGCUUGACACUGAACAUUGAGCCUUGAUGUGUAGGAUAGGUGGGAGGCUUUGAAGCGUGGACGCCAGUCUGCGUGGAGCCAACCUUGAAAUACCACCCUUUAAUGUUUGAUGUUCUAACCUGGCGCCAUAAUCUGGCGUGGGGACAGUGUCUGGUGGGUAGUUUGACUGGGGCGGUCUCCUCCCAAAGUGUAACGGAGGAGCACGAAGGUCAGCUAAUCCUGGUCGGACAUCAGGAGGUUAGUGCAAUGGCAUAAGCUGGCUUGACUGCGAGAGUGACGGCUCGAGCAGGUGCGAAAGCAGGUCAUAGUGAUCCGGUGGUUCUGUAUGGAAGGGCCAUCGCUCAACGGAUAAAAGGUACUCCGGGGAUAACAGGCUGAUACCGCCCAAGAGUUCAUAUCGACGGCGGUGUUUGGCACCUCGAUGUCGGCUCAUCACAUCCUGGGGCUGAAGUAGGUCCCAAGGGUAUGGCUGUUCGCCAUUUAAAGUGGUACGCGAGCUGGGUUUAGAACGUCGUGAGACAGUUCGGUCCCUAUCUGCCGUGGGCGCUGGAGAAUUGAGGGGGGCUGCUCCCAGUACGAGAGGACCGGAGUGGACGCAUCACUGGUGUUCGGGUUGUCAUGCCAAUGGCAC
This 1564-nucleotide ribosomal RNA is filed under the name Cronobacter sakazakii. Its description in RNAcentral is "bacterial LSU rRNA". It matches the Rfam family "Bacterial large subunit ribosomal RNA", at positions 1189 to 2738 of the family's 2925-position model. Lineage: Bacteria; Pseudomonadati; Pseudomonadota; Gammaproteobacteria; Enterobacterales; Enterobacteriaceae. The record is from RNAcentral.